AUUUUAAUAGCUUAUAUAGAGCAUAAUAUUGAAGAUAUUAAGGAAACAAAAUGUUUUAAAGUA
This 63-nucleotide transfer RNA is filed under the name Asymmetricata circumdata. RNAcentral describes it as "tRNA-Phe". The record is from RNAcentral. Lineage: Eukaryota; Metazoa; Arthropoda; Insecta; Coleoptera; Lampyridae.